Molecule: ribosomal RNA, 271 nt
Filed under: Mycobacterium tuberculosis
Lineage: Bacteria; Bacillati; Actinomycetota; Actinomycetes; Mycobacteriales; Mycobacteriaceae
Description: partial 23S ribosomal RNA
Rfam family: Bacterial large subunit ribosomal RNA
Source: RNAcentral
UCCUGAAACCGAAUGCCUACAAACAGUUGGAGCCCAAGAUUUGUUCUGGGUGACAGCGAACCUUUUGUAUAAUGGGUCAGCGACUUAGUCUGACGAGCAAGCUUAAACCGGGAGGUGUAGGCGCAGCGAAAGCGAGUCUGAACAGGGCGUUCAGUUCGUCGGAUUAGACCCGAAACCAAGUGAUCUAGCCAUGAGCAGGUUGACGGUAAGGUAAAACUCACUGGAGGACCGAACCCGCAUCUGUUGCAAUAGAUUGGGAUGACUUGUGGCU